UGCAUAUCAAAAGCGGAGGAAAAGAAACCAACAGGGAUUGCCUCAGUAACGGCGAGUGAAGCGGCAAAAGCUCAAAUUUGAAAUCUAGCACCUUCGGUGUUUGAGUUGUAAUUUGAAGAUGGUAACCUUGGGUUUGGCUCUUGUCUAUGUUCCUUGGAACAGGACGUCAUAGAGGGUGAGAAUCCCGUCUGAUGAGAUGCCCAUUCCUAUGUAAGGUGCUAUCGAAGAGUCGAGUUGUUUGGGAAUGCAGCUCUAAGUGGGUGGUAAAUUCCAUCUAAAGCUAAAUAUUGGCGAGAGACCGAUAGCGAACAAGUACAGUGAUGGAAAGAUGAAAAGAACUUUGAAAAGAGAGUGAAAAAGUACGUGAAAUUGUUGAAAGGGAAGGGCAUUAGAUCAGACUUGGUGUUUUACGAUUAUCUUCUCUUCUUGAGUUGUGCACUCGUAUUUCACUGGGCCAGCAUCGAUUCGGAUGGCAAGAUAAUGGCAGUUGAAUGUGGCUUCACUUCGGUGGAGUGUUAUAGCUUCUGCUGAUAUUGCCUGUCUGGAUCGAGGGCUGCGUCUUUUGACUAGGAUGCUGGCGUAAUGAUCUAAUGCCGCCCGUCUUGAAACACGGACCA
Molecule: ribosomal RNA, 617 nt
Filed under: Hansenula anomala
Lineage: Eukaryota; Fungi; Ascomycota; Saccharomycetes; Phaffomycetales; Wickerhamomycetaceae
Description: Wickerhamomyces anomalus partial large subunit ribosomal RNA
Rfam family: Eukaryotic large subunit ribosomal RNA
Source: RNAcentral